AUGAAAUGGAGCUGCAUCAUCCUCUUGCUGGUGGCAGCAGCUACAGGUGUCCACUCCCAGGUCCAACUGCAGCAGUCUGGGCCUGAGCUGGUGAGGCCUGGGGCCUCAGUGAAGUUGUCCUGCAAGGCUUCUGGCUACACUUUCACUAGCUACCCUAUCAACUGGGUGAAGCAGAGGCCUGGACAGGGCCUGGAGUGGAUUGGAUGGAUUGGUACUACAAGUGGUAAUACUGGCUAUGCACAGAAGUUCCAGGGCAAGGCCACACUGACUUUAGACAAAUCCUCCAGCACAGCCUACAUGGAGCUCAGCAGCCUGACCUCUGAGGACUCUGCUGUCUAUUACUGUGCAAGACACAGGUCUUAUCAUGGUUGUCACAAUGUGUUUGCCUACUGGGGCCAGGGGACCCUGGUCACUGUCUCUUCAGCCACAACAACAGCCCCAUCUGUCUAUCCACUGGCUCCUGGAAGGGGAGGCACAUCUGGCUCCACAGUGACCCUAGGAUGCCUGGUCAAGGGCUAUUUCCCCGAGCCGGCAACCGUAACUUGGAACUCUGGAUCCCUGACCAGCGGUGUGCACAUCUUCCCAUCUGUCCUGCAUUCUGGUCUCUACUCCCUCAGCAGCUCAGUGACUGUGUCCUCCAGCACCUGGCCCAGCCAGCCCGUCGUCUGCAACGUAGCCCACCCGGCCAGCAAAACCAAGGUGGACAGGAAAAUUGUGCCCAGAGUUGGCUGUUCUGAGCCUUCGUCAUGUCCAGGCCCAGAAGUAUCAUCCGUCUUCAUCUUCCCACCAAAGCCCAAGGACGUGCUCACGAUCUCUCUGAGUCCCAAGAUCACGUGUGUGGUGGUGGACAUUAGCCAGGAUGAUCCCGAGGUCCAGUUCAGCUGGUUUGUAGAUGACACGGAAGUGCACACAGCUCAGACGCAACCCCGGGAGGAGCAGUUCAACAGCACCUUCCGAGUAGUCAGUGUCCUCCCCAUCCUGCACCAGGACUGGCUGAAUGGCAAGGAGUUCAAAUGCAAGGUCAACAGCGCAGCCUUCCCUGCCCCCAUCGAGAGAACCAUCUUCAAGAAGAAAGGGCAUAUCCGGGCUCCACAAGUAUACGUCAUGCCCCCACCCAAGGAGCAGAUGACCAAGAAUAAAGUCACUGUCACCUGCAUGAUAUUAGGCUUCUACCCUAAUGACAUUGAUGUGGAAUGGCAGAAGAAUGGACAGCCAGAGCAGAACUACAAGAACACCCUGGCCACCUUGGACGAGGAUGAGACUUACUUCCUCUACAGCAAGCUCAACGUAAAGAGGAGCGAAUGGGAGGCACAAAAUAUUUUCACCUGCUCUGUGGUACACGAGGCCCUGCACAACCAUCACACAGAGAAGAUUCUUUCUCACACUCCUGGUAAAUGAGCUUAGUGUCCUGUGAGCCCUCUGGUCCUAAAAGAUGUUGACACCUACCUCCACCCUUUCCCUGUGUAAAUAAAGCACCCAGCACUGCCCUGGGAACCUGCAAAAA
Molecule: non-coding RNA, 1504 nt
Organism: Peromyscus eremicus (cactus mouse)
Lineage: Eukaryota; Metazoa; Chordata; Mammalia; Rodentia; Cricetidae
Source: the annotation of a RefSeq genome assembly